AUCAUUACCUAGAGUUGUAGGCUUUGCCUGCUAUCUCUUACCCAUGUCUUUUGAGUACCUUCGUUUCCUCGGCGGGUCCGCCCGCCGAUUGGACACAUUUAAACCCUUUGUAGUUGCAAUCAGCGUCUGAAAAACUUUAAUAGUUACAACUUUCAACAACGGAUCUCUUGGUUCUGGCAUCGAUGAAGAACGCAGCGAAAUGCGAUAAGUAGUGUGAAUUGCAGAAUUCAGUGAAUCAUCGAAUCUUUGAACGCACAUUGCGCCCCUUGGUAUUCCAUGGGGCAUGCCUGUUCGAGCGUCAUUUGUACCUUCAAGCUUUGCUUGGUGUUGGGUGUUUGUCUCGCCUCUGCGCGCAGACUCGCCUCAAAACAAUUGGCAGCCGGCGUAUUGAUUUCGGAGCGCAGUACAUCUCGCGCUUUGCACUCAUAACGACGACGUCCAAAAAGUACAUUUUUUACACUCUUGACCUCGGAUCAGGUAGGGAUACC
This 488-nucleotide ribosomal RNA is filed under the name Ectophoma multirostrata. Its description in RNAcentral is "eukaryotic LSU rRNA". The stretch from base 148 to 301 matches the Rfam family "5.8S ribosomal RNA". Lineage: Eukaryota; Fungi; Ascomycota; Dothideomycetes; Pleosporales; Didymellaceae. The record is from RNAcentral.